GACGAGACAACGUUCGAGCAUGCCUCGACCCACGUACCCUUGACCUCAAAUCGGGUGAGACUACCCGCUGAACUUAAGCAUAUCAAUAAGCGGAGGAAAAGAAACUAACAAGGAUUCCCCUAGUAACUGCGAGUGAAGCGGGAAAAGCUCAAAUUUAAAAUCUGGCGGUCCUUGGCCGUCCGAGUUGUAAUUUAGAGAAGCGUCUUCCGCGCCGGACCGUGCACAAGUCUCCUGGAAUGGAGCGUCGUAGAGGGUGAGAAUCCCGUCUUUGGUGCGGAUCCCCGGUGCUUCUGUGAUGCGCUCUCGAAGAGUCGAGUUGUUUGGGAAUGCAGCUCAAAAUGGGUGGUGAACUCCAUCUAAAGCUAAACAUUGGCGAGAGACCGAUAGCGAACAAGUACCGUGAGGGAAAGGUGAAAAGCACUUUGGAAAGAGAGUGAAACAGUACGUGAAAUUGUUGAAAGGGAAACGCUUGAAGUCAGUCGCGUCGGCCGAGACUCAGCCUUGCCUUGGCUUGGUGUACUUCUCGGCCCGACGGGUCAGCGUCAAUUUCGCCCCUCGGAUAAUGGCAAGGGAAAGGUGGCACCUUUGCGGGUGUGUUAUAGUCUCCUGUCGCAUACGUGGNUCNNAUUGAGGAACUCGGCGUGCACCAC
RNAcentral lists this ribosomal RNA (650 nucleotides) under Cortinarius sp. 1E9. RNAcentral's name for it is "eukaryotic LSU rRNA". It matches the Rfam family "Eukaryotic large subunit ribosomal RNA", at positions 1 to 609 of the family's 3401-position model. Lineage: Eukaryota; Fungi; Basidiomycota; Agaricomycetes; Agaricales; Cortinariaceae. The record is from RNAcentral.